GGUAGUGCUCGUAGAUAUACUCAACAAGUGGAUGUGCACAACUCUGUCUUACGAUAACAUGAGAUUGUAUGUCAUUAGACAUCUUGUUUGAUAGUGGCAAAACACCAUUCCAAAGUUGGGUUCACCUCACCCUAUUGAUGUUCACCAAAAUCAAUUAUUAAGUGACGUAAAAUAUACAACACACACAUCUUAGGUCCUUAAUACAAUUAUAUAUUGUAUGUCAUGUCGUUUUAUAAUGUGUUAAGAAACUUUGACAGUCUCGGACCACCACACUAUUCCCC
Molecule: long non-coding RNA, 281 nt
Filed under: Panax ginseng (ginseng)
Lineage: Eukaryota; Viridiplantae; Streptophyta; Magnoliopsida; Apiales; Araliaceae
Description: long non-coding RNA (PGIN_LNC018768)
Source: RNAcentral